RNAcentral lists this ribosomal RNA (548 nucleotides) under uncultured Pseudomonas sp. Its description in RNAcentral is "bacterial SSU rRNA". It matches the Rfam family "Bacterial small subunit ribosomal RNA", at positions 8 to 551 of the family's 1533-position model. Lineage: Bacteria; Pseudomonadati; Pseudomonadota; Gammaproteobacteria; Pseudomonadales; Pseudomonadaceae. The record is from RNAcentral.
AGAGUUUGAUCCUGGCUCAGAUUGAACGCUGGCGGCAGGCCUAACACAUGCAAGUCGAGCGGAUGAUGGGAGCUUGCUCCCGGAUUCAGCGGCGGACGGGUGAGUAAUGCCUAGGAAUCUGCCUGGUAGUGGGGGACAACGUUUCGAAAGGAACGCUAAUACCGCAUACGUCCUACGGGAGAAAGCAGGGGACCUUCGGGCCUUGCGCUAUCAGAUGAGCCUAGGUCGGAUUAGCUAGUUGGUGGGGUAAAGGCCUACCAAGGCGACGAUCCGUAACUGGUCUGAGAGGAUGAUCAGUCACACUGGAACUGAGACACGGUCCAGACUCCUACGGGAGGCAGCAGUGGGGAAUAUUGGACAAUGGGCGAAAGCCUGAUCCAGCCAUGCCGCGUGUGUGAAGAAGGUCUUCGGAUUGUANAGCACUUUAAGUUGGGAGGAAGGGCACUCAGUUAAUACCUUGCUGUCUUGACGUUACCAACAGAAUAAGCACCGGCUAACUUCGUGCCAGCAGCCGCGGUAAUACGAAGGGUGCAAGCGUUAAUCGGAAU